CCAGCCUCCCCACCCAGCACACUGUAGUCUGCCACAUGCCUGCUCAUCUCAAUUAGACUGCAGGCAAGGGUUCAAUGUAUUCAUCCUUGAAUCCCAAGUAUCUGGCAAGGUCCUUGGCACAGAGUAGGGAGAGCUGGUUGAAUUUGGUCUGGGAGAUUAAUGGAAAAGAAGAAAUUCAGAGGCAGAAAAGACCCAUGGUGGUUAAGAGCGCUGAUUUUGCCACUUAGUACCUUGGUGACCUUGGACAGGUGACUUUAGCCUCUCUCGGUGUCUUGCUUUUCUUGUUUAUCAGUAGGGUCUAUGAUUGCAUCGACCUCGGAUGCUUGUUGCGACGGUUAAAUGAGCUAAGAGAUCCAAAUGUGCUUAGAAGAGCAUCUGACUCAUAAUAAGUCCCUGGUAAGUGUUGUUGCUAUUUUUGUUAGUAAAUGAUAAGAAGUCCUACCACCGAAAGGAUAGGAAACAGAAGGAAGAGGAUAGAAAUGAGCAAUUGCAACUAGAAGGGCCUGUGUGCCCACAACAGGGGUGAGGAGGAGUCUCAUAGAGCAGCCCCUAGGAUUCUAAUCCUGUCCUCUAUAUGGUGAUGGUUCUGCUGUUCCACCAUCAGGAACACUGGCAACAGGUGCUUUCUCAGCUUCCUUCGAGACUAAUCUGAACCCUUCGUGAGACCCAGAAGCACCUUCCAUCCAUGAAUCCAGGAAGUAGGAAUGAGAGCUGCCACCACGGUAGAAAAAGAGGCUACCCUGUGCUGAGAUACUGAGGCAGCUGGCCACAGCAUCAGUCAUGCUGGACUGUGUGAUGGAGAAAGAAGGGCAGUAAGAGACAGCAAUAGCAGCAGCACUCCAUCUCUGGAGUAGUUUCCAGGGCUAAGAUUGGAGAUUUGCUGUCAUCAGAAAAGCACCACCUUUUUCAAUAUAACCACAUGGGCCAACUCCUCCUCCCCUCCCGCAGCAUGAGUAGAUGGUUUGGAACCAGCUAUGCCACCGCUAUCCAAGUGUAGUUCCGAGACCGCGUGGGCACUGGGAUUACCUGGAGUUUGGUAGAGACGCAGACUGUGAGGUCCCACCAACCAGGAGUUACUGAAUCCGCCUCUGCGUUGGCCCCCCAUGCCUGGGAAACCAUGUCCAUCAAAUAUUCCUGGAGCUUCUGACUACGCAUCAAGCUUCCGACUGCACCUGGAGCCUUCCGACUGCUUCUGACUGCUCAGCCCCUUGGGAGAAGCUCCGCCAGUUCAAGACCCUCACCCGACCCUCUUCUCCGACCCAGGCCUUCUCAGCUAUCUGGGGCUAGCAGGCAGGUUGGCCUUCACCACUGAGGCCCCUGGUAAAUUUCUACAGAUAAACCCCCAUUUAAUUUUUUGUUUCCAUGUUGCCUGCCUCCCCACCCCACAACCCCCAGCCCGCCCCUCCUCCCUACCACAAGAUGUCAGGAGCAGAGAAAGGUUAUAUUACCAAAUUUAUUUGAAAGAAAACCUCCUAAGAAUUUUCUUAGGUUUGCAAAUAUUUCAAGAAUGUCUGUGUUGUCAAGAGUGUGAAGAAUGUCUCAUUGGACAUCCGUCAGCGUCACUGAGAAAAGAAAUCAGUCUCUGAUGGGGGAGUGUGGGAAACAGUGAAUGAAGAAAAAGCAGGGGUUUGCUUUUUGUAAUAAACAACGCUGGCGUGCA
Callithrix jacchus (white-tufted-ear marmoset) is the source of this 1660-nucleotide non-coding RNA. The record is from RefSeq and is a predicted model, not a curated record. Lineage: Eukaryota; Metazoa; Chordata; Mammalia; Primates; Cebidae.